RNAcentral lists this ribosomal RNA (774 nucleotides) under uncultured Neocallimastigales. RNAcentral describes it as "partial large subunit ribosomal RNA". It matches the Rfam family "Eukaryotic large subunit ribosomal RNA", at positions 20 to 616 of the family's 3401-position model. Lineage: Eukaryota; Fungi; Neocallimastigomycota; Neocallimastigomycetes; Neocallimastigales. The record is from RNAcentral.
UACUAGAGUAGCACUCGCAUAUCAAUAAGCGGAGGAAAAGAAACUAACAAGGAUUCCCCUAGUAACGGCGAGUGAAGCGGGAAGAGCUCAAAUUUGAAAUCUUAAAGGGUUUCCCUUUACGAAUUGUAGUUUAAAGAAGUGUUUUCUGCUGAGGUUUUGGUAAAAGUUCUUUGGAAUAGGACAUCAUAGAGGGUGAGAAUCCCGUAUUUGACCUUUACUUUCAACUUUGUGAUACACUUUCAAAGAGUCGGAUUGUUUGGGAAUGCAGUCCAAAAUGGGUGGUAAAUUUCAUCUAAAGCUAAAUAUUGGCGAGAGACCGAUAGCGAACAAGUACCGUGAGGGAAAGAUGAAAAGAACUUUGAAAAGAGAGUUAAACAGUACGUGAAAUUGUCAAAAGGGAAGCGUUUGACACCAGUGUUGUUUUUCUGAAAAUCAAUUAAAGAACUGUUUAUGCUAAGCUGUUUAGACUUUAUCAGCUAACUGUUUAGUUUUAGGCUUUUCUUUAAUGCACUUUUCAGUUAACAAGUCAACAUCAAUUUCUUUUGCUGUAAAAAAGCUUGAGGAAGGUGGCUUGAGAUUCGUCUUAAGUGUUUAUAGCCUCUUGCCUAUGCAGUCGGAGAGAUUGAGGUCUGCAGCGUAGAUCCUUCGGGGCUAAAUGCAUUUGUGCUAAGUUAUAGCAUUUUAUAGACAACUUGUUGACUAUGAUUUGUCUUGUAGCUUACUCGCUUAUGUUAUUUUACCUACGCUUAGGAUGUUGAGCGCAUGUCUCUCUCU